CAAAAUAAAUUUCUUAAAGCUUGACUCUUACAUUUGUUUAGCCAAAAUUAAUUAAAAAAAACUUGUUAAUAAGCAUGUUAGGUUUAUAUAAACAGAGUUGUUUCUUUUUUUGUGGAUGUUAGUUAAUAUUUCCAGUUGCAUUCAUUUGGACCAAUCAGAGCCAAUCUUUUCAAAACAAGCUUGCCGGCAAUUGUCCAAUCACACACUGCCAUUUGAACUUACAUGUUGGGCGGGGCGCAGACAGCGGAUACUGACUGUCUGUGGUAUCCCAUUAUAGCUUCGGAUAUUUCAACAGAAAUCAUGUAUUUUCCAAAUUUUGCUUUGUUAUUUCACUGGCUCGGACCUAGUGAAUGUGGAUAGCACCGAUCUAAUAUUGAGAGAACACACGAGCAGAUUACCAGGUCGUCAGCUCCCGCGAACAAUUAGCAGUGAAGAGGACAACGCAGAGGUGCGCCGCCACGACAUGGACAGAGCAAGAUACUGCCAGAAAAGAUCUUACUUCUUGGUGAGCUUCCAGGGAUAUUAUCAUCUCUCAAAGAGGCCCUGGAGUCCAUGAAACGAGAUUUCCCUCGGUGGUUCUGAUGUCCCCAAAAGAGUCUAUGGCAGACUGAACAAGUCACGAACUUCUCUUUUUACUCAAGAUUUGGCCACUUUACUUUUUGCUAUUGUAUUUCACUUUGUUUGACUUAAAGGAUUAGUUCACUUUAAAAAAAAAAAAAAAAAACCUUUAGCUGAU
Molecule: non-coding RNA, 736 nt
Organism: Pimephales promelas (fathead minnow)
Lineage: Eukaryota; Metazoa; Chordata; Actinopteri; Cypriniformes; Leuciscidae
Source: RefSeq, a predicted model, not a curated record